Molecule: transfer RNA, 105 nt
Filed under: Asterophora parasitica
Lineage: Eukaryota; Fungi; Basidiomycota; Agaricomycetes; Agaricales; Lyophyllaceae
Rfam family: tRNA
About the family: Transfer RNA (tRNA) molecules are approximately 80 nucleotides in length.
Source: Rfam by way of RNAcentral
GGUGAGAUGGCCGAGCGGUCUAAGGCGCCAGACUAAGGACCAACACGCAGAGCGUGUACCUAAAUCUGGUCAUUCGUGGCGUGGGUUCGAAUCCCACUCUCAUCA